Molecule: ribosomal RNA, 301 nt
Filed under: uncultured bacterium
Lineage: Bacteria
Description: partial 16S ribosomal RNA
Rfam family: Bacterial small subunit ribosomal RNA
Source: RNAcentral
CAGCAGCCACGGGAAUACAGAGGGUGCGAGCGUUAAUCGGAUUUACUGGGCGUAAAGCGUGCGUAGGCGGCUAAUUGAGUCGGAUGUGAAAUCCCCGAGCUUAACUUGGGAAUUGCAUUCGAUACUGGUUAGCUAGAGUGUGGGAGAGGAUGGUAGAAUUCCAGGUGUAGCGGUGAAAUGCGUAGAGAUCUGGAGGAAUACCGAUGGCGAAGGCAGCCAUCUGGCCUAAUACUGACGCUGAGGUACGAAAGCAUGGGGAGCAAACAGGAUUAGAUACCCCUGUAGUCCCUGUCUCUUAUAC